CCGGCCCGGACACCGCGAGGAUUGACAGAUCGAGAGCUCUUUCUUGAUUCGGUGGGUGGUGGUGCAUGGCCGUUCUUAGUUGGUGGAGCGAUUUGUCUGGUUAAUUCCGAUAACGAACGAGACUCUGGCCUGCUAAAUAGUCCGCCCGUACCCGCGUGCGGGCGCGGACUUCUUAGAGGGACGAGCGGCGCUUAGCCGCGCGAGACUGAGCAAUAACAGGUCUGUGAUGCCCUUAGAUGUCCGGGGCCGCACGCGCGCUACACUGAAGGAAUCAGCGUGCCCCCGUCCCGGCCCGGAAGGGCCGGGCAACCCGUACAACCUCCUUCGUGCUGGGGAUCGGGGCUUGCAAUUCUUGCCCGUGAACGAGGAAUUCCCAGUAAGUGCGAGUCACCAGCUCGCGUUGAUUACGUCCCUGCCCUUUGUACACACCGCCCGUCGCUACUACCGAUUGAACGGUUUAGCGAGGCCCUCGGAUCCGUCCCGGCGCCGCCGGUCCCGGCAGCGUCGGCGCGCGGAGAAGACGGUCGAACUUGAUCGUUUAGAGGAAGUAAAAGUCGUAACAAGGUUUCC
Molecule: ribosomal RNA, 570 nt
Filed under: Odontosyllis australiensis
Lineage: Eukaryota; Metazoa; Annelida; Polychaeta; Phyllodocida; Syllidae
Description: SSU rRNA
Rfam family: Eukaryotic small subunit ribosomal RNA
Source: RNAcentral